Molecule: ribosomal RNA, 467 nt
Filed under: uncultured bacterium
Lineage: Bacteria
Description: partial 16S ribosomal RNA
Rfam family: Bacterial small subunit ribosomal RNA
Source: RNAcentral
UGGGGAAUUUUGGACGAAUUGGGGGCAACCCGUGAUCCAGCAAUGCCGCGUGUGUGAAGAAGGCCUUCGGGUUGUAAAGCACUUUUGUCCGGAAAGAAAACGCCGUGGUUAAUACCCGUGGCGGAUGACGGUACCGGAAGAAUAAGCACCGGCUAACUACGUGCCAGCAGCCGCGGUAAUACGUAGGGUGCAAGCGUUAAUCGGAAUUACUGGGCGUAAAGCGUGCGCAGGCGGUCCGCUAAGACAGAUGUGAAAUCCCCGGGCUUAACCUGGGAACUGCAUUUGUGACUGGCGGGCUAGAGUAUGGCAGAGGGGGGUAGAAUUCCACGUGUAGCAGUGAAAUGCGUAGAGAUGUGGAGGAAUACCGAUGGCGAAGGCAGCCCCCUGGGCCAAUACUGACGCUCAUGCACGAAAGCGUGGGGAGCAAACAGGAUUAGAUACCCUGGUAUCCAGUCGCCCUAAACGAU